Molecule: ribosomal RNA, 253 nt
Filed under: uncultured bacterium
Lineage: Bacteria
Description: partial 16S ribosomal RNA
Rfam family: Bacterial small subunit ribosomal RNA
Source: RNAcentral
UACGUAGGGCGCAAGCGUUAUCCGGAAUUAUUGGGCGUAAAGAGCUCGUAGGCGGUUUGUCGCGUCUGCCGUGAAAAUCCGGGGCUCAACCCCGGACUUGCAGUGGGUACGGGCAGACUAGAGUGUGGUAGGGGAGACUGGAAUUCCUGGUGUAGCGGUGAAAUGCGCAGAUAUCAGGAGGAACACCGAUGGCGAAGGCAGGUCUCUGGGCCACUACUGACGCUGAGAAGCGAAAGCAUGGGGAGCAAACAGG